This 434-nucleotide RNase P RNA is filed under the name Erythrobacter ani. RNAcentral's name for it is "RNase P RNA component class A". It matches the Rfam family "Bacterial RNase P class A". From Rfam's summary of the family: Ribonuclease P (RNase P) is a ubiquitous endoribonuclease, found in archaea, bacteria and eukarya as well as chloroplasts and mitochondria. Its best characterised activity is the generation of mature 5'-ends of tRNAs by cleaving the 5'-leader elements of precursor-tRNAs. Lineage: Bacteria; Pseudomonadati; Pseudomonadota; Alphaproteobacteria; Sphingomonadales; Erythrobacteraceae. The record is from RNAcentral.
CAGGGGGCUGAGGCAGCCGCGUUAUCGUAAGAUACCGAGGAAAGUCCGGGCUCCACGAAGCAAUGGUGGCGGGUAACGCCCGCCGGGCGAGGGUUUUCUGACCCAAGUUCAGGGAAAGUGCCACAGAGAGUAUACCGCCGAUGGCGCACGCUGUUCGCAGCGGCGCGCACAGGCAAGGGUGAAAGGGUGCGGUAAAGGCGCACCGGGGCUCUGGUAACAGCGUCCGCAUGGCAAACCCCACCUGGAGCAAGGCCAAAUAGGGGUCUCGCGCCCUCCUUAGGGUAGGGCAGGAGUGGCUCGCUCCGAGAGAUCCGGGUUGGCUGCUUGAGCUGCUCAGCAAUGGGCAGCCUAGAUGAAUGGUUGCCGCCGCGAUUUAGGUCCUUCGGGAUACCGGCUCGCGGAGACAGAACCCGGCUUAUGACGCCCCCUGAUGA